Long non-coding RNA from Bactrocera tryoni, 523 nucleotides. RefSeq lists it as uncharacterized. NCBI's taxonomy places the organism in Eukaryota, Metazoa, Arthropoda, Insecta, Diptera, Tephritidae. The record is from RefSeq and is a predicted model, not a curated record. The transcript has 3 exons.
GCAAAAAGAAAACAAAUUAAUGUUUGCAAAUAAUAAUUAUUUGUAGACCCUAGACAGUGGCAGAUUAUAAAUAACUUUUCCAAAAUGGCAACGGCUUGAGCCGCAAUUACAAAGAGAACAGAGGAGAGCACAAGCGCCGCUUGUCAGUUGCAAUCUGCUUGCAAUCAAGUGAGCACUCGAGCUAAUUGAAAGCGAAAGAAUCAAAUGAGAAACUUGUAAGGAAUCAGCGCUACUUACUAUUGCGUCGGCAGCAGAGCUUAUUGUGCCGUUUCAAGUACAUUUUAGAGCGCCUCUACAGUCCACAGGCAAUGCGUUGAUCUACUUUGCUCACUCAAGGAUGGCAAGCAAUAAUGGCGCGCGUUGCUUAUAAUGUGGGAUAAUUGCUGUUAAUUUUUAUGACAGCUUCCAGUUCAGAGACACAGUGGGCACCGCAAAACGUCUAUUCCGCGAAGGGCUUUCGGAGAUCAGCUGCAGUUCCUUUUCAAAUAAAUAUUUUUACUUACGCUAAAUCUUAAAAUACAGC